This is a long non-coding RNA of Lepisosteus oculatus (spotted gar), 2683 nucleotides long. The record is from Ensembl. Lineage: Eukaryota; Metazoa; Chordata; Actinopteri; Semionotiformes; Lepisosteidae.
AUGGGACAUUUUCCACAUUCCCCAUACCCUGAUCACAAAUCUGAAUCGACAGACCAGGAUGGAUGCUUGAUGUAUUUCACUACAUUGAACUUACUUUUCAAGGACAGAGAGAGAGACAUGGUUACAGAAGCUCCUUCAUCAGUCUCAUACUCCAGGGUGUAUUUGAUUGCAGUGGACUUUGAUGCGAUCCUGGUCAGCCCUAAUUUCUCAGAUUAGCUGUUUACGAGAUUCGAACAUCCAUGACGCCUUCUUAUCAUCAGAGAAACUCUAUUCGUGGUUGAGUGAAGUAAGAAAAGGUAUGUUCCACCCCUACUCUUUUCGAGAAACGCCCUGGGCUUUUUAAUGGCCACAGAGAGCCAGGACCUCGGUUUUCCAUCUCAUCUGAAGGACGGCGCCUUUUUACAGUCUAGAGUCCCUGUCGCUAUACUGGGGCAUCAGGACCCAGAUAGACCACAGGGGGUGGGCGCUCCCUGCUGGCCCCACUAACACCUCUUCCAGCAGCAGCCUUAGUUUUCCCCAGGAGUCUCCCAUCCAGGUACUGGCCAGGCUCACACCUGCUGAGCUCCAGUGGGCUGCCAGCUGUGAGUUGCAGGGCGAUAUGGCUGCUGGCUUAAGUGUGAUAGUUAUUAUGAUUAGUAGUAGUAUUUUUCAUAUCGCCUUUAAAAAUAACCUCUAAAAGUGCUUUACAGUAGGAGAAAAAUAUUAGCAAGGAGAAGAGGAUACAAAAUUAGCACAAUUAACAACAAGGGUUUAGAAUGCAGAAAACGAUGCAAGGGGCAGACAGGACCGAUUAAGUAAAACUAGCCUUUCUGAUGCAACGUGUAUUUACACAACAAAUAUUCACGCAACAUUUGUUGUUACACUUACCAAGUUAUGGCAUUAUAAAUAAAUUAGGGCAUGGAAAAAUAAGAAUAUUAAUCCAUUCCUGUUGCACUACAGAAUGGUCUCUGCUAUCCGUGUUGGCACUGAAUUAAAAGCUCACCUUUUGUGGCUCGAUUUAUUUGUUUUUUUUGAAUCGGAGUGUUCCUGGGUAUCUGAAAAAGAGAAAUGUUUGACAAUUCAUUGAAAUGAUAUCAGUUACGCGAAAGGCAUGAGAUCAUAUGCAGACAAUGAAAUGCAAUACCAGCCUGUGUUUCGGAGGUUAUCGGCAGAACAUUUAACAAGAUGCUCUAUAAAGGACACAUUCAAGACAUUGUUUAAAAGCUUCCACCAUAACAUUUUCCAUACGCAUUUCGAAAGAGGAAGUUGAGUCUUUGCCAACAGACAGAAAUAAGCACUUAAACUUAUCGCACUCAAAUAAGGACAACGAUGGCAACAACUCCCAGUGACACCUCUUUAAAGUGACGGAAAGGAAGCGCGAGGGGUGGAUAUCUAAAAGCCAAGUGCGGAACAAUAAAAAGUGAAAUUUUACGUUUUAAAAGCAUGUGCACACAUACUAGAUGCUCAAGUGUGAGGUACUAUUUUUUUAACUUAUGAUUAUACUGUAUUAUGAGACUUCCCUCUCCACCAGCGCAGUAUAUUGAAACAUGCACGGAUAAGUCAUAAAUGUUACGGAUUUUGUACCGCAAAACUUAAGAAUGCAGCAAAUUAAAAGCUCUCUCUUUACAAUAUGUAAGGCCUACAUUUCCUAUGCCUUUUUCGCAGUACGGUUAGUGUUCUGAAUAUUCCGGCCUGUUCUGAUCUGGGGAAAAAGCUCGAUGUUUUCCUACGUUAAGAUUGAAGUUUACACGGUAGCCUCUGGUACUCGAUUAAAAAAAAAAAGCACGUCUGGGCACAAAACAUCAUACAGCUCGGUCGGUAAAAAAACAGACUGAAUAAUGAAUAAUCUGUGCCUAAUGCUCUCAAAACAGAUUGAAAAAUCAAGGCUGUGAUUAAUCACACCUCAGCUGAUACAUCACCCAUGAUUACGGUUUUCACCUUUUUCUAAGAAUGAAUAUACUGUUGGCAACAAUGGACGAGUGAAAAUGUAUCGGAAUAUUUCACGGGUGUAGGCUAGGUACUCUUGAGUCUACAGGACAGGGGAGUUUAACUACUACUAUUAUUCUAAUUGAGCUUUAGCAUUGGAGGGCGAGCUUUAAACAAAUUAAACGUUCAAUAAAAAUACAAAUGUUAUAUUAUAAGUAACAUAAAAAACGUACUGUAGUAGAGGUGCUGGAAACGCUACAGUACCUGUUGAAUUUAAAUUUAAACAUAUAACAGUACAAUGUGUAAUCUAUGCUAUCCGUUUUUCGUUCCUUUAAAUAUUGGUUUUGAGGCGAUUUUAUUAAGAUUUGUGUUCUAAUUGAUCUGAUUUCAAGAUAAAAUGGCCUCCUGUUAAAUAUGGCUUUUUCCAUGUUGGGCGAUUUACCAGCAGAAACACCACACAACACUACGAGUGCCGAUUCGGAAAAAAAAUCAAAGUCCGAAAACAUUGUAGUUUUGUUUUUUUAUAAUAGUUGCAAGAUGAAUGAAGGUAAGGGAACGGCUUUAAUUUAGAACGGUUUACCGUAUGCGUUCUGUUAAAAUUGAAUGUUGUUUGAUUUCUCCAUUUAUUUUAAAGUUUUGAAGAUUUUGAAGAUGAUAAAACCAGUACUUUCGAUAAUUAAACCAUACACUAAUUACGUAAUGCAUACAAAUAAACCAUAAAUAAUCUAAAAAAGUAUGCACUUUCGGUAUACUGUAUAUUAAAUACCAUCGUUUCCUA